CGGGAGGCCUAACACAUGCAAGCCGAGCGGUAUAGAUCUUUCGGGAUCUAGAGAGCGGCGUACGGGUGCGGAACACGUGUGCAACCUGCCUUUAUCAGGGGGAUAGCCUUUCGAAAGGAAGAUUAAUACCCCAUAAUAUUUAGAAUGGCAUCAUUUUAAAUUGAAAACUCCGGUGGAUAGAGAUGGGCACGCGCAAGAUUAGAUAGUUGGUGAGGUAACGGCUCACCAAGUCUGCGAUCUUUAGGGGGCCUGAGAGGGUGAUCCCCCACACUGGUACUGAGACACGGACCAGACUCCUACGGGAGGCAGCAGUGAGGAAUAUUGGACAAUGGGUGCGAGCCUGAUCCAGCCAUCCCGCGUGAAGGACGACGGCCCUAUGGGUUGUAAACUUCUUUUGUAUAGGGAUAAACCUACCCUCGUGAGGGUAGCUGAAGGUACUAUACGAAUAAGCACCGGCUAACUCCGUGCCAGCAGCCGCGGUAAUACGGAGGGUGCAAGCGUUAUCCGGAUUUAUUGGGUUUAAAGGGUCCGUAGGCGGAUCUGUAAGUCAGUGGUGAAAUCUCACAGCU
This 569-nucleotide ribosomal RNA is filed under the name Chryseobacterium sp. CRIB-52. Its description in RNAcentral is "bacterial SSU rRNA". It matches the Rfam family "Bacterial small subunit ribosomal RNA", at positions 40 to 609 of the family's 1533-position model. Lineage: Bacteria; Pseudomonadati; Bacteroidota; Flavobacteriia; Flavobacteriales; Weeksellaceae. The record is from RNAcentral.